CCUACGGGGGGCUGCAGUGGGGAAUAUUGGACAAUGGGGGGAACCCUGAUCCAGCCAUGCCGCGUGUGUGAAGAAGGCCCUCGGGUUGUAAAGCACUUUCAGUGAGGAAGAACGCCUGGUGGUUAAUACCCAUCAGGAAAGACAUCACUCACAGAAGAAGCACCGGCUAACUCCGUGCCAGCAGCCGCGGUAAUACGGAGGGUGCGAGCGUUAAUCGGAAUUACUGGGCGCAAAGCGCGCGUAGGUGGCUUGAUAAGCCGGUUGUGAAAGCCCCGGGCUCAACCUGGGAACGGCAUCCGGAACUGUCAAGCUAGAGUGCAGGAGAGGAAGGUAGAAUUCCCGGUGUAGCGGUGAAAUGCGUAGAGAUCGGGAGGAAUACCAGUGGCGAAGGCGGCCUUCUGGACUGACACUGACACUGAGGUGCGAAAGCGUGGGUAGCAACCAGGAUUAGAUACCCGAGUAGUC
RNAcentral lists this ribosomal RNA (465 nucleotides) under Vreelandella stevensii. Its description in RNAcentral is "partial 16S ribosomal RNA". It matches the Rfam family "Bacterial small subunit ribosomal RNA", at positions 338 to 795 of the family's 1533-position model. The record is from RNAcentral. Lineage: Bacteria; Pseudomonadati; Pseudomonadota; Gammaproteobacteria; Oceanospirillales; Halomonadaceae.